UACGUAGGUAGCGAGCGUUAUUCGGAUUUACUGGGCGUAAAGGGUCUGCAGGGGGUCUGCCAAGUCUGGCGUGAAAUUCCAAGGCUCAACCUUGGAACUGCGUUGGAUACUGGCGGACUAGAGUGCAUGAGGGGAGAACAGAAUACCUGGUGUAGCGGUGGAAUGCGCAGAUAUCAGGUGGAACACCGACGGCGAAGGCGGUUCUCUGGCGUGCAACUGACCCUGAGGGACGAAAGCGUGGGGAGCAAACAGG
RNAcentral lists this ribosomal RNA (253 nucleotides) under uncultured bacterium. RNAcentral's name for it is "partial 16S ribosomal RNA". It matches the Rfam family "Bacterial small subunit ribosomal RNA", at positions 524 to 776 of the family's 1533-position model. The record is from RNAcentral.